UGAUUUUUAUUGCGAAGCAUUGGCAAAAAUAUUGUGAGUAAAAAUAUUGCUAAAAUUUUCCAAGAAAUGAGAAAUACAAGAAAUGUAAGAAAUAAAGAAAAGCAAUGCAAGUAAGAAAAAAUGGUGGCUCUGAUUGGAUUUGAACCAACGACCCCUACCA
RNAcentral lists this antisense RNA (160 nucleotides) under Helicobacter macacae MIT 99-5501. RNAcentral's name for it is "Bacterial antisense RNA HPnc0260". It matches the Rfam family "Bacterial antisense RNA HPnc0260". Lineage: Bacteria; Pseudomonadati; Campylobacterota; Epsilonproteobacteria; Campylobacterales; Helicobacteraceae. The record is from Rfam by way of RNAcentral.